GACGAACCGUGCGAACGUUAUUCGGAAUCACCGGGCUUAAAGGGCGCGUAGGCGGGUCAUCAAGUCCGGGGUGAAAUCCCACGGCCCAACCGUGGAAGUGCCUUGGAUACUGAAGACCUCGAGGGGGAUAGGGGCGUGCGGAACUCAGGGUGGAGCGGUGAAAUGCGUAGAUAUCCUGAGGAACACCGGUGGCGAAAGCGGCGCGCUGGAUCCCUUCUGACGCUGAGGCGCGAAAGCUAGGGGAGCAAACGGG
This 253-nucleotide ribosomal RNA is filed under the name uncultured bacterium. RNAcentral's name for it is "partial 16S ribosomal RNA". It matches the Rfam family "Bacterial small subunit ribosomal RNA", at positions 524 to 776 of the family's 1533-position model. The record is from RNAcentral.